This is an RNA transcript of Syngnathus acus (greater pipefish), 4892 nucleotides long. It is a transcript of the gene named multiple C2 domains, transmembrane 2a, with no coding region annotated. The transcript has 32 exons. The record is from RefSeq and is a predicted model, not a curated record. Lineage: Eukaryota; Metazoa; Chordata; Actinopteri; Syngnathiformes; Syngnathidae.
CCGACCUCCGACUGGCGCAUUUUGACGCACGAGUUUCUUUUCAAACAUAAAUAUGAUUGCGCCGCCUCGUUGAAAGCGACUUGGAUUUUGGGACGCCGUUUGACAGAAGAGGCAGCUUGUUCUGAACUUCACUGCUCUCGCAGGGAACCACUCAAAAUGGAGGAGAAGAAAAAAACAGUAAUGGAUAAUAUUCGCUUGAAGACAAAACUGAUCAAUCUGAUGAGGCUGCCGGGUAAGAAGGCGGCAAACAAGCAAAAGAAAAAAGUACCGGUAUUCACCAGGCGCAGUCUAUCCGUACCGGAACUGAAUGUCAAGGAGGUCGAAGCGCUUCCUCCAAUCAGCGCCUUGGCCAGAACAUCCGAGGCCAUAUUUUUUGGAUUGAGCGAUAGCGAUUCCGUCGCGAGCGGCUCCAUCCCUGACGGCCCGACUGUCACGGACGGCGGCUCUAUUAGAACUGCUUCCUCGUUCCAUCUCAGUGAGGAAUUUAAUAACGCGAUGUCAAACACGGAGAAGAAAGCAUACACAAAAGGACCCUUGUUCACCUUUGAUCCCGUUCCGACCCCGCGAUCCGUCUUCCCCAAAUCGUCAUUCAGCUCACCAGCGCUGAAUCCCGCAAUGACCUCUGAACAUUCCCGGCUCUACGAGGACAAUCCGACGGACAAAGCGACAAUCUCAGAAGUUCUGGCCAGAGCGAACUCAACGGGAGAACAAACAAACAUCAACGCACAGCCGAGGUUUGUGCAUUUCAAGCGGGACAGGCCGCUUUCUGGAAAAUUCCAACUGUCGGCACGCAGAGACAAGACGCCCCUGCCGUCGGAGUCUCUCGCUAAACCUGCCGACGGCGUGGAAAGCGUCAGCGAGUGUUGGACCGGCGAAGACCAGGCAGCCAUGCGGUGGUUGACGGACACGGAGGGACUGGAUCCCGAUGAGUUCUCCGCCAUCGCUAAUGACUACAGCAUUGAGGAAUCUUCACUGGAAGGAGCCACUCAGGAGGACAUUGAGAUGUCCAGUGAACCAUUUGAAUUCUUUGAGGACCCACUCGAAACCCCACUUUCGCCAUCAACUUCGGACUCCCAACUCCCGGCCCCCCUCCAGAGGUACCUGCUCUGCAUCAGCUUGAAACAUGGACAAAACCUGGUCAUUAGAGACAAACGCGGUACGAGCGACCCGUACGUGAAGUUCAAACUGGAAGGAAAGCAGUUCUACAAGAGCAAAGUGGUUUAUAAAAACUUGAAUCCCAAGUGGAACGAGUUCUUCUCCUAUCCCCUGCGGGACAAAGAACACGUCGUGGAUGUCCGGGUCUAUGAUAAAAACCUGACGAGCGAUGACUUCAUGGGUUCGAGCAGCAUUUCGCUGAAGAAUCUCGAACUUUACAAGACUUAUGAACUGGAGUUGCCCCUCACCGAUCCCAAAAGCAAAGAAGACGACAUGGGAAUCAUCUCGGUGGACGUGUGCCUCAUGUUUCGUGACGCCACCAUCAAACGGAACUGGAGAUGGCCAGCCAAAAAGACAAAGAAAGCUACGCAGCACCCGAGCUCGGCCGACAUGCAGAAGAGUCAGCCCAAGAGCCGCAUGUGGACGGGGGCUCUGGCCAUCACGCUCGUGGAGGGUCAGGAUCUACCGCAACACGGCCAAGGCGACAUCUAUGUCCGCUUUCGACUGGGCGACCAGAAGUACAAGAGCAAGAACCUCUGCAUUCAAGCCAAUCCCCAGUGGAGAGAGCGCUUUGACUUCAAUCAGUUUGCAGAUAACCAGGCACCUCUGCAGGUGGAGGUGCACUUAAAGAGAGGCAGGAAGGGCGAGGAAUCGUGGGGAAUGUUCGAGGUUGACCUGUCCAACCUGGUGUUUAACGAGAGGCAGCUCUACACGCAAAUGCUGGAUCCGGGAAAGGGCAGGCUGGUGUUUCUGGUCACCCUGCUGCCUUGCUGGGGCGUCUCCAUCUCCGACAUUGAGACGGCUCCUUUGGAGAAGCCUGACGAGAGAGACGCCGUGGUGGAGAAAUUUAGCCUCCGCAACUCGUAUAAAUGCAAGGGCGAAAUUGGUUUCCUCCAAGUCAAGGUUUUAAAAGCCAACGAUCUCCCCGCUACAGACAUCAAUGGGAAAAGCAACCCCUUCUGUGUGAUGGCACUGGGAAAUAGCAAACUUCAAACCCACACCAUCUACAAAAGCCUCAAUCCGGAGUGGAACACAGCAAUCACAUUCCCGGUUAAGGACAUUCAUGAUGUGGUGGAGCUGACCAUCCUGGAUGAAAACGGAGACAAAGCACCGGGCUUUUUGGGCAAAGUUGCCAUUCCGUUACUGACUGUGCAAAAUGAGCAGCAGAUUUGUCUCUACUUGAAGAAAGAGGACUUGAGUGGCCCGGCCAAAGGAACCAUCACGCUUGUGUUCGAGGUUAUUUACAAUAAAGUUCGAGCUGGUAUUAAAAGUUUCCAACCAAAGGAAGAAAAGUUUACAGAGGAAAGCGUAAAGUUCUCGAAAAAGGUUCUCGCCCACAAUAUCUAUCGAGUUCGCAAAAUCAGCACAGCAGUUCUGUACACGUUACAGUACAUCAAGAGCUGUUUUCAGUGGGAGAACACGCAACGGAGCCUCAUAGCCUUCCUGAUCUUCCUGGUGACAGUUUGGCACUGGGAGCUCUUCAUGUUUCCCCUCUUCCUGCUCCUGCUCUUCAUUUGGAACUACUUUCAGCUCCGUGGCAGAAGCGUCACCUCCAACCAGGACCUGGUGAACAUGAGCACGUGUGAGGACGAAGAGGACGACGAGAAGGAACCUGAAAGAAAGUGUUUCAUGGACAAGAUACACAUGGUGCAGGAAAUUGUGUUGACAGUCCAGAACAUUUUGGAAGAGCUUGCAACCAUCGGGGAACGGAUAAAGAACCUGUUCAACUGGUCUGUUCCCUUCAUGUCGUGUCUGGCCUGCCUGGUCCUCUUUGUAGCCACAUCGCUAUUAUAUUUAAUUCCACUGCGCUACAUGGUGCUCAUAUGGGGCGUUCACAAAUUCACCAAGAAGCUGCGCAACCCGUAUGCAAUCGACAAUAAUGAGCUGCUGGAUUUCCUCAAGAGAAUGCCGUGUGAUGUUCAGAAGGUGCGCCACAGCGCACUGAGCGCGCCCACCGGCCGCAACCUGCCACGCAAGAAGAAGUAAGAGAGCAGCGGUCCGACCCAGUCCGCCUGACAAACAACGCACCGGUGCCACCCCAGCUCCACUGUAGCGCCCCGACUCGGCACCCUUCGCCCCCCCACGGCGCCCUCCGACUUGUGUUUGCCUCCCCGGCUGACAGCAGGAGGAGGAAGAGGAGGAGGGCAGCUCACGGCCCCGUCAAUCAUCAGCCGGGAGCGAUUUGCAAGCGCUGUACUGCCGGAGAAGUUGAGCUUAAUUUGCCCGAAAAAAAAAAUUGGGCAGAAGGUUCACCUAAUCUGUGUAUUCACCUGUUGACAUAUAGAGGAAUUUGAAUAGGUCUAGUGUCAGCAGAGAAAGAAGAUGCUAAAGUGGAUCCAAAGAGAUGAAACAUUGGCCAGAAUUUACAUUUCAACAGAACCAAGAUGUCUCCCGAUUCCCUGUAAACUUGGGUCACAAAAAGGUUGCAUGACCCUAAAGCACAAAGACAGAACUGAACCUCAACAAGACUCUCAAAUAGUCUGCUCGGCAACAGGUGACAACAACAUUGUCAAUCAAAAAGAAAGGGGAAACACAUUCAUAUCGCCACAGGCGGAAGAAGCAGACACCAAAUGUUUGAAAAUGAUCUGAAAAGUGGAGUGGUUUUUUUUUUUGGGCUAACCCAGAUUUUGCCAUACGCGGGAAGUUGAAGCACUGUCCACGCCCACCGCGCGUCAGACGGACGACAUCACAGCAAUUUGUGUGUUCUAACUAGCAGCGCCUCGCAGCACUCCCCCAUGUUCUGGUCCAUCUGCCUCCUGUCCAUUGAUCAGCCUUCCAGGGGGCAUCAGUCUGUUUAACAUCUGCUACGAGUUGCCGAGGCUCAGACGUUCGGGGAGUCUGUAAUGAAGAGCUCUUGAACUGCCGGGCGGAGACGCGCUGAGAUGAGAGUCCAGCAGGACGCCCCUUUUGGCUCUGCGGGACGGGCGGUUUUUGUGCGGCAGCAUUUUCUCAAGAACUCGUAGCCCCGAUGAAGGGAGGCCGCGAGUCGGAGGUGACCCGCUCCCGAGUGGCGCCCGGUGGCGAGGCCGCGAGCCUUGAUUGGUCCUCGCCAGGGAAGGGAGGGACCUCCGCUGCGGGUGAAAUGUAGCCCGUGACCCCCUGACCCUCGGGGUCCGGCAUUUGUCUCCAGUGCAGUGACCACAAACAACCCCUGGUUUUGCUGUAAAUGUCAGCGCGGCGCCGUUCCCGCCCUCUCGCCUGUGAAGCACAAUGCUGCGCUCAAGCUGCACUAAUAGGACACUUUGAUGGCAGCGCCAUCAUCGCUUGUCCUGUUUGUUUGAUUGAUCUACUCACUCUCUCACCCUUCCUCUCUGUCUCUCUAUCUGGGCACCAUGUCCAAGUGACAGUAUUACCUCAAAAGCUGUUAAUUAUAUAUAUGUGUGUGUACAUACAUAUAUAUAUAUAUAUAUAUACAUACAUACAUAUAUAUAUUUUUUUUUUUCCUAUCGUUAAAUUACCUCGUUUAAUGUAGACAAUUUUCUUAAUGUAGACCUCUCAAAAAUAAUUCACAAUUGAUUAUUUUUAAGCCAAAAUUAUAGUUAUUUGAUGUUAGACUUUCUAAAUAGUUUUAAAUGUGGGUUUUUUUUAUUUCAGGGGUCAGGAUGAAAUUGUAAUUGCAGCAUCAUCAUGGGUUUGGUUUCUGACCAAAAUAACCACAGACUUUGGUUUAAAUAAAAAAAAAUUAAUUGAAGUGUACACCAAAAAACAGACAAAACGCAUCUGCUAAUUAUUUUUAU